UGGCCCUGCAGUACCCAUGGCGACACACCACGGUGCUGAAUUUGGUGGGAUGGAGGGUGCAGUGUGAUAUUUGGUCCCCACUCUCUCGCAAGAUCGCCGAGGUCCAUUACUUUCUGCUGAGACGUUCCAGUUGCUAAGUUCAGUGAGAGGACCAUGCCCACGAUGCUACUGCCUCUACCGCCUGGGCCCCUCAAUGACAGGCACACCUGGGAGAAUGAAGCCGAUCCAGAACCUGAGCCUGGGCAAGCCCAGCCUGAUCGGCAGAUCCGUGAGUGAGAAAUAAACACUUGUUUUGUAAGUCCCUGGGA
Molecule: long non-coding RNA, 308 nt
Organism: Herpailurus yagouaroundi (jaguarundi)
Lineage: Eukaryota; Metazoa; Chordata; Mammalia; Carnivora; Felidae
Exons: 2
Source: RefSeq, a predicted model, not a curated record